AGCGAGUGACAUCCAUCCUUCCGUCCUGUUUUCCUUGCUCCCCAGACCUCGUCGCAAUGGGUUAAAUGUAGGCAUCUCUGUUUAGCCUGCACCCCUUCACCCAGCAAGCCGGGAGGGGGGGGGGGGGGGCACCUUCUGCUUUUCCUCCCGCCCCCCCCCUUUCUUCACUGACCCCUCCUUUUCGUCCUCCCAAGGCGGAGUCAGUUUCCCCAGCGGUGUUUUAAGUCAGCCAGUGUUUGUAAGGCAACUCGAUCCCUUCAUCAGAGAAAGGCUGGAUGCCGGUUAGUUGACACCGGGGCCAGGAGUCCUCCAGGAGCUACGUGGUCCUUAUGGAGUAUUUAACUGAGACAGAGACAGGAGAAUGCUCCCCCAGUUCCAGCACUAUGGAUGCCCGGCCGCUCUUCCAA
Pseudonaja textilis is the source of this 407-nucleotide non-coding RNA. Lineage: Eukaryota; Metazoa; Chordata; Lepidosauria; Squamata; Elapidae. The record is from RefSeq and is a predicted model, not a curated record.